UUUAAGAGCACAUUUCUCUGCAGCGUCAUUCUCCUGUGCUGCUAACCACUUCCUCCUAUACACCAGGUUUAUUUUUUGACUACAGGUUUUCACUACGCUGCAAAGUGGGAGCGAUCAACAUUACUGCCGUUCUCAUGGACAGCGCAGGGCUUUUCUUCCAUGGCUAAGAGUAUUCAGCUCCAGUAUCUGGGUGUCUGUGUGAUUCUGCUGCAUCUUACAUGUGGAGAUGAAUUGGUUUCAAUCAACAAACCUCUGGGAGUGAACGUUACGCUGCGCUGCAAUUCAUCUAAUGAUGUAUUGAAAACUGAUUGGGCAAAGGAUGGAAUCAAGGUGUUUAUACAUAGUUCGAAAUUGGGAAAAAACAAAACCAAAACCAAAACAAACUUCACUUCUGAAAGGAUGAGUGUUGAUCCUGCUACUCCAACGAUACUGCAGAUAUCUGAUGUGCAGGUGUCUGAUGAGGGUAUAUACACAUGUACAGUUACUACAUAUCAGACAGUGAUUAAGACAAAAUGGAACUUGACCAUUUCUACUGACAACCCAGAUCUACCAACAUCAAUCUAUAUUUAUACUGCUGCCAUAUCAGGGACGAUCAUCAUUGUCAUCAUCAUCAUCAUCAUCAUACUAUGCAUUUACAGG
Molecule: long non-coding RNA, 639 nt
Organism: Clupea harengus (Atlantic herring)
Lineage: Eukaryota; Metazoa; Chordata; Actinopteri; Clupeiformes; Clupeidae
Exons: 2
Source: RefSeq, a predicted model, not a curated record